This 1091-nucleotide ribosomal RNA is filed under the name Salmonella enterica. Its description in RNAcentral is "bacterial SSU rRNA". It matches the Rfam family "Bacterial small subunit ribosomal RNA", at positions 108 to 1196 of the family's 1533-position model. The record is from RNAcentral. Lineage: Bacteria; Pseudomonadati; Pseudomonadota; Gammaproteobacteria; Enterobacterales; Enterobacteriaceae.
GAGUAAUGUCUGGGAAACUGCCUGAUGGAGGGGGAUAACUACUGGAAACGGUGGCUAAUACCGCAUAACGUCGCAAGACCAAAGAGGGGGACCUUCGGGCCUCUUGCCAUCAGAUGUGCCCAGAUGGGAUUAGCUAGUUGGUGAGGUAACGGCUCACCAAGGCGACGAUCCCUAGCUGGUCUGAGAGGAUGACCAGCCACACUGGAACUGAGACACGGUCCAGACUCCUACGGGAGGCAGCAGUGGGGAAUAUUGCACAAUGGGCGCAAGCCUGAUGCAGCCAUGCCGCGUGUAUGAAGAAGGCCUUCGGGUUGUAAAGUACUUUCAGCGGGGAGGAAGGUGUUGUGGUUAAUAACCGCAGCAAUUGACGUUACCCGCAGAAGAAGCACCGGCUAACUCCGUGCCAGCAGCCGCGGUAAUACGGAGGGUGCAAGCGUUAAUCGGAAUUACUGGGCGUAAAGCGCACGCAGGCGGUCUGUCAAGUCGGAUGUGAAAUCCCCGGGCUCAACCUGGGAACUGCAUUCGAAACUGGCAGGCUUGAGUCUUGUAGAGGGGGGUAGAAUUCCAGGUGUAGCGGUGAAAUGCGUAGAGAUCUGGAGGAAUACCGGUGGCGAAGGCGGCCCCCUGGACAAAGACUGACGCUCAGGUGCGAAAGCGUGGGGAGCAAACAGGAUUAGAUACCCUGGUAGUCCACGCCGUAAACGAUGUCUACUUGGAGGUUGUGCCCUUGAGGCGUGGCUUCCGGAGCUAACGCGUUAAGUAGACCGCCUGGGGAGUACGGCCGCAAGGUUAAAACUCAAAUGAAUUGACGGGGGCCCGCACAAGCGGUGGAGCAUGUGGUUUAAUUCGAUGCAACGCGAAGAACCUUACCUGGUCUUGACAUCCACAGAAGAAUCCAGAGAUGGAUUUGUGCCUUCGGGAACUGUGAGACAGGUGCUGCAUGGCUGUCGUCAGCUCGUGUUGUGAAAUGUUGGGUUAAGUCCCGCAACGAGCGCAACCCUUAUCCUUUGUUGCCAGCGGUCCGGCCGGGAACUCAAAGGAGACUGCCAGUGAUAAACUGGAGGAAGGUGGGGAUGACGUCAAGUCAUCAU